UACGUAGGGUGCGAGCGUUAAUCGGAAUUACUGGGCGUAAAGCGUGCGCAGGCGGUCCGCAAAGUCUGAUGUGAAAGCCCCGGGCUCAACCCGGGAACUGCGUCCGAUACUGGGAGGCUUGAAUCCGGGAGAGGGAUGUGGAAUUCCAGGUGUAGCGGUGAAAUGCGUAGAUAUCUGGAGGAACACCGGUGGCGAAGGCGGCAUCCUGGACCGGUAUUGACGCUGAGGCGCGAAAGCCAGGGGAGCAAACGGG
Molecule: ribosomal RNA, 253 nt
Filed under: uncultured bacterium
Lineage: Bacteria
Description: partial 16S ribosomal RNA
Rfam family: Bacterial small subunit ribosomal RNA
Source: RNAcentral